RNAcentral lists this ribosomal RNA (553 nucleotides) under Escherichia coli. Its description in RNAcentral is "bacterial SSU rRNA". It matches the Rfam family "Bacterial small subunit ribosomal RNA", at positions 993 to 1533 of the family's 1533-position model. Lineage: Bacteria; Pseudomonadati; Pseudomonadota; Gammaproteobacteria; Enterobacterales; Enterobacteriaceae. The record is from RNAcentral.
GAAGUUUUCAGAGAUGAGAAUGUGCCUUCGGGAACCGGUGAGACAGGUGCUGCAUGGCUGUCGUCAGCUCGUGUUGUGAAAUGUUGGGUUAAGUCCCGCAACGAGCGCAACCCUUAUCCUUUGUUGCCAGCGGUCCGGCCGGGAACUCAAAGGAGACUGCCAGUGAUAAACUGGAGGAAGGUGGGGAUGACGUCAAGUCAUCAUGGCCCUUACGACCAGGGCUACACACGUGCUACAAUGGCGCAUACAAAGAGAAGCGACCUCGCGAGAGCAAGCGGACCUCAUAAAGUGCGUCGUAGUCCGGAUUGGAGUCUGCAACUCGACUCCAUGAAGUCGGAAUCGCUAGUAAUCGUGGAUCAGAAUGCCACGGUGAAUACGUUCCCGGGCCUUGUACACACCGCCCGUCACACCAUGGGAGUGGGUUGCAAAAGAAGUAGGUAGCUUAACCUUCGGGAGGGCGCUUACCACUUUGUGAUCCAUGACUGGGGUGAAGUCGUAACAAGGUAACCGUAGGGGAACCUGCGGUUGGAUCACCUCCUUACCUUAAAGAAGC